Molecule: transfer RNA, 62 nt
Filed under: Laemobothrion maximum
Lineage: Eukaryota; Metazoa; Arthropoda; Insecta; Psocodea; Laemobothriidae
Description: tRNA-Gly
Source: RNAcentral
UAAUUGUCUAAUAUAUUUAUUAUAUCUUACUUCCAAUAAGAAAAUCCUCCGGGGACAAUUAA